RNAcentral lists this ribosomal RNA (253 nucleotides) under uncultured bacterium. Its description in RNAcentral is "partial 16S ribosomal RNA". It matches the Rfam family "Bacterial small subunit ribosomal RNA", at positions 524 to 776 of the family's 1533-position model. The record is from RNAcentral.
UACGUAGGGCGCAAGCGUUGUCCGGAAUCAUUGGGCGUAAGGAGCUCGUAGGCGGCUUGUCACGUCGGGUGUGAAAGCCCGGGGCUUAACCCCGGGUCUGCAUUCGAUACGGGCUAGCUAGAGUGUGGUAGGGGAGAUCGGAAUUCCUGGUGUAGCGGUGAAAUGCGUAGAUAUCUGGAGGAACACCGGUGGCGAAGGCGGCAUCCUGGACCGGCAUUGACGCUGAGGCGCGAAAGCCAGGGGAGCAAACGGG